GACGAACGCUGGCGGCGUGCUUAACACAUGCAAGUCGAACGGAAAGGCCUGCUUUCCCUUGUGGAUUGCGGGUGCUCGAGUGGCGAACGGGUGAGUAACACGUGAGUGAUCUGCCCCCAACUUGGGUAUAAGCCUGGGAAACUGGGUCUAAUUCCCGAUAGGACUGCAGGGUGGUGCCUGUGGUGGAAAACGAUUUUCUAGUGGUUGGGGAUGAGCUCGCGGCCUAUCAGCUUGUUGGUGGGGUAAUGGCCUACCAAGGCGGCGACGGGUAGCCGGCCUGAGAGGGUGGACGGCCACAUUGGGACUGAGAUACGGCCCAGACUCCUACGGGAGGCAGCAGUGGGGAAUAUUGCACAAUGGGCGGAAGCCUGAUGAAGCGACGCCGCGUGGGGGAUGACGGCCUUCGGGUUGUAAACUCCUUUCGACCGCGAGGAAGCCACCUGGUUGGAAGGGUGGUGACGGUAGUGGUAGAAGAAGCACCGGCUAACUACGUG
RNAcentral lists this ribosomal RNA (494 nucleotides) under uncultured bacterium. Its description in RNAcentral is "partial 16S ribosomal RNA". It matches the Rfam family "Bacterial small subunit ribosomal RNA", at positions 28 to 507 of the family's 1533-position model. The record is from RNAcentral.